RNAcentral lists this ribosomal RNA (253 nucleotides) under uncultured bacterium. Its description in RNAcentral is "partial 16S ribosomal RNA". It matches the Rfam family "Bacterial small subunit ribosomal RNA", at positions 524 to 776 of the family's 1533-position model. The record is from RNAcentral.
UACGAAGGGGGCUAGCGUUGCUCGGAAUUACUGGGCGUAAAGCGCACGUAGGCGGAUCUUUAAGUCAGGGGUGAAAUCCUGGAGCUCAACUCCAGAACUGCCUUUGAUACUGAGGGUCUUGAGUUCGGGAGAGGUGAGUGGAACUGCGAGUGUAGAGGUGAAGUUCGUAGAUAUUCGCAAGAACACCAGUGGCGAAGGCGGCUCACUGGCCCGAUACUGACGCUGAGGUGCGAAAGCGUGGGGAGCAAACAGG